UAGAUGCUUAGAGAUAGGUUUUUGAUGUAC
This 30-nucleotide non-coding RNA is filed under the name Mus musculus (house mouse). Lineage: Eukaryota; Metazoa; Chordata; Mammalia; Rodentia; Muridae. The record is from RNAcentral.